UAGCGAGUUGUCUCUACUGAUUGAUAUCUAUACUGUGGUCUAACUAUAUGUUUACUUAGUUGUGUUUGCCUUCAUUUUCCAGUUUUAUCCCUCAGUAAUUGGGCUUUCAGCCUGUUGAGGGAUUAUAAUAAUAAAGCGCAAUUUUUAUUUAGAAAAAUGUUUGUUGUAAAAGUGAUAAGAACCGUCAUAGAUCCACAAGUGCUAAGAUGAAGGAGAAAUAGGCUUCGAGUAAUUGCCAGUCACUACAGAUCAACGACUGACCCUACUAACAGCUGCUGCUUAUAUGUUAUAAAAAUUUACAACAUGGGCUGGAGAAGCUGAUGGAUUAGUUUCGCUUCAGUUUAAGUGUGAGUGUCCUACAUUUCAUCUUUCUUAAAUUGUUCAGCUUAUCGGAAAUGAACAGUGAUUUUAGUGUCGCCCCUCUAUUUGUUACGUUUACACGACCAUAAUAACGCUACGUCCAAGUUACCAUCAACUGGAGAAGUUUACAAUUUAUGUUACAUUCUGACACUGUGCAUUUUAACAUUACACAGGAAGCAUAUUCUGCAAUAACAUAGUUUAGUGCAAUACAGCACUUUCAUCAAAGCAAAACCAAUUAUUUAAUCAUUAUUACCAUUCCCAUUUUUGGUAUUGUCCGUGAAACUGUAAAAUUGUGAAACUUGAAACUGUGUAGUCAUGUUCUCAUGACAAGAACCACCCUCCUUGUUUAAUGAAGAGGCAUACCUAUGUGUUUAAUUACAUUUAUUCAUGAACUGAUUGAUUUAUAAUCGAAAUGUAUGAGAGUAGAAGUCAUAUGGCCUCCGACAAUGAUAAAUUUGUUUUCUUUUUUUAAUAAACGACUUUUAUUUUA
Long non-coding RNA from Zophobas morio, 850 nucleotides. RefSeq lists it as uncharacterized. Lineage: Eukaryota; Metazoa; Arthropoda; Insecta; Coleoptera; Tenebrionidae. The record is from RefSeq and is a predicted model, not a curated record. The transcript is spliced from 2 exons.